UGACGCAGCAAUGCCGCGUGUGUGAAGAAGGCUUUAGGGUUGUAAAGCACUUUCAAUUGGCAAGAAAGGUUGCGUGUUAAUAGCACGUAGCUAUGACGUUACCUUUAGAAGAAGCACCGGCUAACUCCGUGCCAGCAGCCGCGGUAAUACGGAGGGUGCGAGCGUUAAUCGGAAUUACUGGGCGUAAAGCGCGCGUAGGCGGUUUGUUAAGUCGGAUGUGAAAGCCCCGGGCUCAACCUGGGAAUUGCAUUCGAUACUGGCCGACUAGAGUACGAGAGAGGGAGGUAGAAUUCCACGUGUAGCGGUGAAAUGCGUAGAUAUGUGGAGGAAUACCGGUGGCGAAGGCGGCCUCCUGGCUCGAUACUGACGCUGAGGUGCGAAAGCGUGGGUAGCAAACAGGAUUAGAUACCCUGGUAGUCCACGCCGUAAACGAUGUCUACUAGCCGUUGGGAGACUUGAUUUCUUAGUGGCGCAGCUAACGCACUAAGUAGACCGCCUGGGGAGUACGGCCGCAAGGUUAAAACUCAAAUGAAUUGACGGGGGCCCGCACAAGCGGUGGAGCAUGUGGUUUAAUUCGAUGCAACGCGAAGAACCUUACCAGGUCUUGACAUCCUGAGAACUUUCUAGAGAUAGAUUGGUGCCUUCGGGAACUCAGAGACAGGUGCUGCAUGGCUGUCGUCAGCUCGUGUUGUAAAGU
Molecule: ribosomal RNA, 697 nt
Filed under: uncultured Gammaproteobacteria bacterium
Lineage: Bacteria; Pseudomonadati; Pseudomonadota; Gammaproteobacteria
Description: bacterial SSU rRNA
Rfam family: Bacterial small subunit ribosomal RNA
Source: RNAcentral